GCAGUUCUGCAGAAAAGGACCUAGGGGUUACGGUGGACGAAAUGGCUGCAAUGGAGCUGGUUCAGGAGCCGGUGACCUUUAAGGAAGUGGCUGUGUACUUCACCAGGGAAGAGGGGGCUCUGCUGGAGCCCGUUCAGAGAGCUCUCUACUGGGAUGUCAUGCAGCAGAACUAUGAGACUGUGACCUCGCUGGGGUUUCUAGUUUUCCAAUGUGAUGUGAU
Molecule: long non-coding RNA, 220 nt
Organism: Mauremys mutica (yellowpond turtle)
Lineage: Eukaryota; Metazoa; Chordata; Testudines; Geoemydidae
Exons: 3
Source: RefSeq, a predicted model, not a curated record